Non-coding RNA from Paramuricea clavata, 73 nucleotides. The record is from the annotation of a GenBank genome assembly. NCBI's taxonomy places the organism in Eukaryota, Metazoa, Cnidaria, Anthozoa, Malacalcyonacea, Plexauridae.
CACCGCGUAGCUCAGUUGGCAGAGCAUUGGGCUAGUAUUCCAAAGGUCGUAGGUUCGAUUCCCACCGUGGCCG